This 2405-nucleotide long non-coding RNA is filed under the name Equus asinus (donkey). Its description in RNAcentral is "lncRNA (ENSEASG00005030798.1)". The record is from RNAcentral. Lineage: Eukaryota; Metazoa; Chordata; Mammalia; Perissodactyla; Equidae.
UGUACAACUGAGUGGCAUUUAGUACAUUUACGAUGCUGUGCAACCAACAUCGAUAUCCAGUUCCGGAACUUUCUCAUCACCCCAGAAACCCUGUACCCUGCUACUCCCCAUUCUCCCUCCCCCCAGCCACUGGCAGCCACCAAACUCUGUACUGUCUCCAUGGCUGCGCCUCUUCUGGACGAUUCCGGUACGUGGGAGCGCCACAUCGAGCUGGGUCACCCCAGUUCUUCACAGUGGACACUUCUCAGUAAGACAGAAGGUCACCAUUAAGCAUCUGAGCAGCAGACUCAGGAAAGCGCAAAGCGGAGCAUCGUUGAUGAAUUUUCUAACGCCCCCUUCAGCGUGGCCCAGCGGCAUCGUGGGCCGCGCCCUGGAGGAGGAAACGCGGCCAUCACAGCUCAGCUGCGGCGAUGGGCACGCCUCAACUGCUGGCCUGUCGAAUGUGAUCAUCCUGGUCUUACUGUCUGUUAGGACCUUCCAGGGUGACAGCCCAUUUAACCAGCGCAGUAAAACUGGGGGUGGGGGGCAUUAUCACCCCCGUUUUACAGAGAAGGAAACUGACAGCCAGGAGUUCAAUCAGUUUUCUCCAAGUCUUUAAAAAUGGCAGAGUUGGGGUUUGAACCAAGACCAAGCCGUCCCCAAAUCCCUCUCUGAGCCACCCCGGGGAUCUUCCCUCCUCUCUUCAGAAGUCUGUUCCUGAUGUCAGGGCGGAGAGCUGCCUGCCGGACAGAUGAGCCCUGUCCCUCGGUCACAGCCACCUGGCGAGCUGCUCUCAGACGAGCCACCUCGCUGGCAGGCUCGUACCGUCGUUAACUGCUGGACACCUUGAACUUGACCAGGGAAAGCAACCUGAGCCAUUUGGACUGAUGAUGGAACCGCACACCCAGAAACCGACCGGCUGGGAGAGCAGGGACCCGCUGAAAGCACUCAGGACCCCACCGUGAACGCGUGUGCGUUAGAGAUGCCGAGGGGCUGGGCUCGCGGCAGCCCCCAGGCAGCGCCAGCACCUGGUCUUGGGCACGGGAUGCCACAGACUUUAUUACAUCUUAUUAAAUGUUAAAGUCCCCUGGGGAAGGCGACCUCGGAACCACAGCAUCUGAAGUUCAUUGCGAUCAUCUCCUUGACAUUUACAAAUUCAUAAUGUAUAAUGAACUAACCUGAAGUGGAACUCUUUAAUUAAUUGCAUGAAACAGAGAGUGUAUAUUAAAAAUGAAUAAAUAAGACAAACAAGGUUGAGUUUGCAGACCUCGAGUAAACUGGCUGUGGAAGGAGCCUUCGCACACGUGGCUCGGACUUGAGGGCUGGCCGGGGCCUGAGUCCCGGAGAGCCCCACGCUUCCCCUCCUCAGGGGCGGGUCCCGGACGGCGUGUGAGCUCCCGCCACGAACAUGGACACUGUUUGUAGGACACCUUCGUGAUGUCUGCUGCCGGUUUCAGAAACAGGAGUCUCUGAGUUGGAGAUGCCGUGUUGCCUGAGUCCCCAAGAGACACUGGGGCAUCUGGGGCACUCGAGGACGCACCGUGCACAAGUGGCAGAGCCCAGAUGUGAACUCAAUCCAUGUCUUCCCGCUCCUGCCCUCAGCUUCUGCUCUCUCUGUGAUUUACACAACAAAACUCACCGUCCAUCCCUAGAUAUGGAUGCUCCGAGCAUGGUGCCGGCCAGGGGCUGACCCUGAGGCCACGGCUGCUUGGCCACUGCCACCCCCAGGUUCCCCUCCGCCCCUGGGGCCUCCCAGUGCUGUGCCAGGAGCCCUCGCCCCUAUGCAAGCGAGGCCAAACUUGCAGGGCUUUCUGGAGAGCUCAUGCAGCUCCAAGGAGAGGCUGUGAACAGCAAGAGUAGCCGCUCCAAGCCGUGCUGACAGCUCCUUGGGAACGAAGGCCCUGAUUACAUAACGAGGCUGCCUGGGGAAGGAAGACGAUGCCUGCUCAGGGUUUUGCAAAAGGAAAAAGACAGUUAAAUCUGCCCUGCUCACGCCUCACGCGUUCCUUCUUCAGGCGGUUGUUAUGGAGCCCGAGGCGGCACCGGGCCCUGCUGGAGACACCAGGGAUGUGAGAGAGUCGGACCAAAUUCCCUGCUCCUGGGAUGCUGACAUGCUAGUGAGGGAGAAAGACCACAAACCAAAUAAACAGGCGGAGCUCUGAGGUGGCUGUGAUUCCCGCCCUGUGUGAUCCCCGGGGCUGUGAAUAGGAUGGAUUUUACCCCUGUGAUUGGGUGUUGGGAUUCAGUACAGCGGACAUUGAGAAAGGGAGAUCGUCUCCGGUGACUCUUGAAGAGACUGGGCUCUGCCCAAGGGCAGAGAGCUGAAGCGAGAGAGUCUGCACCGCGGGCGCUGAAGCUCGAGGCCCCCCUGAGAAGGACGUGGGGCCUGGAGGAGCUCCGAGCAGCCCCAGCCCGGGGUGAGCCAG